AUGGAGUCGUCGAGGUCGCGGAAGCGCACGCGUCAAGAGUUGGACAGCACCGGCGACCCGCCGCCGGAGCGGGAGGUGGUAGCAAGGGGUGGCGCGUCGCCGCCUUGGCGGGAUGACGACCGCGACGGCCAUUACGUGUUUGAUCUCGGCGAGAACUUGACCCGUCGGUAUAAAAUCUUGAGCAAAAUGGGUGAAGGUACUUUUGGCCGAGUUUUGGAAUGCUGGGACCGUGAAACACGUGAAUAUGUUGCAAUAAAAGUUGUCCGAAGCAUCCGGAAGUACCGGGAUGCUGCAAUGAUUGAGAUCGAUGUGCUCAAUCGCCUUGCAGAAAAUGAGAGAUACAGAUCCCUCUGUGUCCAAAUUCAAAGAUGGUUUGACUAUCGCAACCAUAUAUGCAUUGUAUUUGAGAAGCUUGGGCCAAGCUUGUAUGAUUUUCUAAAGAGAAAUAGAUACCAACCUUUCCCUGUGGAACUUGUGCGGGAGUUUGGACGACAACUGUUGGAAUCUGUAGCAUAUAUGCAUGAAUUACGCCUUAUUCACACUGAUCUGAAGCCAGAAAACAUACUCCUUGUAUCUUCCGAAUAUAUAAAGGUUCCAAGUUCCAAGAAGAAUUCACAAGAUGAGAUACACUUCAAGUGCUUGCCAAAGUCCAGUGCCAUAAAGCUGAUAGAUUUUGGUAGUACUGCCUUUGAUAAUCAGGAACAUAACUCGAUUGUUUCUACGAGGCAUUACAGGGCACCUGAAAUAAUCUUAGGCUUAGGCUGGAGUUUGCCAUGUGAUAUUUGGAGUGUUGGUUGCAUCCUCGUUGAGCUAUGCUCGGGGGAGGCAUUAUUUCAGACACAUGAGAACCUGGAACACCUAGCAAUGAUGGAGAGGGUUUUGGGACCCGUACCAGAGCACAUGAUACGGAAGGCUAGUUCAUCAGCUCAGAAAUAUUUUAGGCGAGGGACACGUCUAAAUUGGCCUGAAGGUGCUGUUACAAGAGAAAGCAUCAGAGCAGUCAGAAAACUACACCGGCUAAAGGACUUGGUCGCGAGAAAUGCUGACCAUUCAAAGGCAUCGCUGGCAGACUUGCUAUAUGGUCUUUUAAGGUUUGAGCCUUCAGAGCGCCUUACUGCCCAAGAAGCUCUAGAUCAUCCAUUCUUCCGAAUUCCAGGUCCAACAUGA
Molecule: ribosomal RNA, 1167 nt
Filed under: Triticum aestivum (bread wheat)
Lineage: Eukaryota; Viridiplantae; Streptophyta; Magnoliopsida; Poales; Poaceae
Description: partial small subunit ribosomal RNA
Source: RNAcentral